Molecule: ribosomal RNA, 478 nt
Filed under: uncultured bacterium
Lineage: Bacteria
Description: partial 16S ribosomal RNA
Rfam family: Bacterial small subunit ribosomal RNA
Source: RNAcentral
GACGAACGCUGGCGGCGUGCUUAACACAUGCAAGUCGAACGGUAAGGCCCUUCGGGGUACACGAGUGGCGAACGGGUGAGUAACACGUGGGUGAUCUGCCCUGCACUUUGGGAUAAGCCUGGGAAACUGGGUCUAAUACCGGAUAGGACCAUGCGCUGCACGGUGUGGGGUGGAAAGCGUUUGCGGUGUGGGAUGGGCGCGCGGCCUAUCAGCUUGCUGGUGGGGUAAUGGCCUACCAAGGCGACGACGGGUAGGCGGCCUGAGAGGGUGACCGGCCACACUCGGACUGAGAUACGGCCCAGACUACUACGGUAGGCAGCAGUGGGGAAUAUUGCACAAUGGGCGCAAGCCUGAUGCAGCGACGCCGCGUGAGGGAUGACGGCCUUCGGGUUGUAAACCUCUUUCAGUAGGGACGAAGCGCAAGUGACGGUACCUACAGAAGAAGGACCGGCCAACUACGUGCCAGCCGCCGCCGUAA